Molecule: ribosomal RNA, 253 nt
Filed under: uncultured bacterium
Lineage: Bacteria
Description: partial 16S ribosomal RNA
Rfam family: Bacterial small subunit ribosomal RNA
Source: RNAcentral
UACGAAGGGUGCAAGCGUUAUUCGGAAUUACUGGGCGUAAAGCGUGCGUAGGUGGUUCGUUAAGUCUGAUGUGAAAGCCCUGGGCUCAACCUGGGAAUGGCAUUGGAAACUGGCGACCUAGAGUGCGGUAGAGGGUAGUGGAAUUCCCGGUGUAGCAGUGAAAUGCGCAGAUAUCAGGAAGAACACCGAUGGCGAAGGCAGGUCUCUGGGCUGACACUGACGCUCAGGCACGAAAGCGUGGGGAGCAAACAGG